Molecule: ribosomal RNA, 377 nt
Filed under: uncultured bacterium
Lineage: Bacteria
Description: bacterial SSU rRNA
Rfam family: Bacterial small subunit ribosomal RNA
Source: RNAcentral
UAAUACGUAGGGGGCAAGCGUUGUCCGGAAUCAUUGGGCGUAAAGCGCGUGUAGGCGGCUCGAUAAGUCUGCUGUGAAAGUCCAGGGCUCAACCCUGGGAUGCCGGUGGAUACUGUCGAGCUCGAGUCCGGAAGAGGCGAGUGGAAUUCCUGGUGUAGCGGUGAAAUGCGCAGAUAUCAGGAGGAACACCAAUGGCGAAGGCAGCUCGCUGGGACGUGACUGACGCUGAGACGCGAAAGCGUGGGGAGCAAACAGGAUUAGAUACCCUGGUAGUCCACGCCGUAAACGAUGGGCACUAGGUGUGGGAGGUGUCGACUCCUCCCGUGCCGAAGCUAACGCAUUAAGUGCCCCGCCUGGGGAGUACGGCCGCAAGGCUA